GGGGAUGUGCGUGCGCCUGCGCGUGCGCCGCGUACGGCCGAGGAGCCCGAUCGGUGCUGCAGCCCGGCUCCGCUGAGCUCAGCACGUUGAACUGCUUCGCGCCUCCCCGCUCGCAGCCCAGGGCUGCAUCAGGGCGGAGUGGGGUGUGUCAGGUGAACAGUGCUCCCUCCCAUUCUUCAGUUGGGUCCACCAACCCCGCAGCCGGCGUGGGAUUCCUGCGCUGCCAUUGCCGUCCCACCGUUCAGGCUCAGCGCCUGGUUCCCAGCCUACACCAGGGCUUCACCGGCGCCUACCGGGAAACGGCCGCUCCGCUGCAAAAGAGGCCGCCGUGGUGUAGCCCGGGGUCUGCAGUGUUGUUUUGGCCCCCGGUUUCUGGGCUCUCCGCCUUCUCAGGUGGCAACGUGUUCCUCAAACCUUUGUCCCCCCAUCAGGAGCAGAUUCCCCCAGCUCCUAAGCAGCUGCAUGACCAAAAAAAAAAGUGUUGGCGAGACUUGUUUUAAUGGCCAGGAUUUUUGCAGGAGACGCUCCUGAUGAGAUUUGAAAAGAUCCACUAGGAACCACUAAGAAGGUGGAGUUUUGUAUCUAGACCUGACACGGAGACAACAGAACUGCUUGUUUGGGACCAGAAUCCAAACAAGCACCAGGAAGUGGAGUCUAAAAUCCUGGGCAGGUACUGGAGCUGCCCAUCCUCAUGAAGGGGAAUUUAAGCCAAGUUUCUUCAAACCUUUAAGGCACACCAUGUGUCAACCUAAAUAAAGUAAACUGAGGAAAACUCAAGUGACCAGAAAUUGAGUUGAUUUGGGAAUAGCAGAGGACUUGCAAUUCAGGAAACACAUGCUGUAGCAAGUUACAGGAGAAGGAAACUGCGUCUCAAAGAGAUUUAGUCACUUGCAAUUUUUGGCAAUUAUGUACCACUUCUCCUGGCACACAUGUAAGCAAGCCCUUGACAAGCCUCUGAAAGAAGCACACAUGGGCCAGACUCAGACUCAAGACUUGGGUUGUUUUUAGAAAUUAAAUUGCAUCAGGACACAGAAGAUGGAAUGAUCAGACAACUGGCUCCCCAACCAGAAGGGAGGCUAUGUUCUUCUGAUGGUGGGGGGCCUGAAAGGGCGCCUCCUUCCCCAUCAGCUGACUACACAUAAGAUAAAAUAUAUCUUCCUACGUUUGGAAGAACCAUGAGGUUUGGUGGGGUGCCUAGGAGCAAAAAUGAACCAGAGGGAAUACAGCCCAUUGGGUCAGACUGACUCAGUGAAAACUACACUGGGAAAGGCAAAGCACUUUUGUGAGGGCAGCUAGAACCUUUCUUGUUUGUUGAAUGGAGACUUAGACUCCAGGUCUGAUGUGUAUUACAGACACUGUCACUUCCACUAUGAGGCCCCUCCUCAAGCACUCUUUGAGUCUCCCUUGAAACAAAGGUAUUUGGGAAUAAAUGACCUUUAACGCAAUGAAAAUCUUCCUCCUACGAUCUCCGCUAAUCUUUUUAGGUGUUAAUAUUUAGCAUUACCUUCUACUAUCCACGGGCCAGGAAAUGCAGCUGGCUAGGCUUACCAGCAAAGCCUUUCUAAUACUUCCUUUACUUCUUUCCCCU
Molecule: long non-coding RNA, 1588 nt
Organism: Myotis daubentonii (Daubenton's bat)
Lineage: Eukaryota; Metazoa; Chordata; Mammalia; Chiroptera; Vespertilionidae
Source: RefSeq, a predicted model, not a curated record